This 429-nucleotide ribosomal RNA is filed under the name Pseudomonadota bacterium. Its description in RNAcentral is "Proteobacteria bacterium partial 16S ribosomal RNA". It matches the Rfam family "Bacterial small subunit ribosomal RNA", at positions 355 to 776 of the family's 1533-position model. The record is from RNAcentral. Lineage: Bacteria; Pseudomonadati; Pseudomonadota.
UGGGGAAUAUUGGACAAUGGGCGAAAGCCUGAUCCAGCCAUGCCGCGUGUGUGAAGAAGGUCUUCGGAUUGUAAAGCACUUUAAGUUGGGAGGAAGGGCAGUAAGCGAAUACCUUGCUGUUUUGACGUUACCGACAGAAUAAGCACCGGCUAACUCUGUGCCAGCAGCCGCGGUAAUACAGAGGGUGCAAGCGUUAAUCGGAAUUACUGGGCGUAAAGCGCGCGUAGGUGGUUCGUUAAGUUGAAUGUGAAAGCCCCGGGCUCAACCUGGGAACUGCAUCCAAAGCUGGCGAGCGAGAGGAGGGCAGAGGGUGGUGGAAUUUCCUGUGUAGCGGUGAAAUGCGUAGAUAUAGGAAGGAACACCAGUGGCGAAGGCGACCACCUGGGCUCAUACUGACACUGAGGUGCGAAAGCGUGGGGAGCAAACAGG